RNAcentral lists this ribosomal RNA (502 nucleotides) under uncultured bacterium. RNAcentral's name for it is "partial 16S ribosomal RNA". It matches the Rfam family "Bacterial small subunit ribosomal RNA", at positions 30 to 523 of the family's 1533-position model. The record is from RNAcentral.
AUUGAACGCUGGCGGCAUGCCUUACACAUGCAAGUCGAACGGCAGCAUGGGUGCUUGCACCUGGUGGCGAGUGGCGAACGGGUGAGUAAUACAUCGGAACGUACCUUAUCGUGGGGGAUAACGCAGCGAAAGUUGCGCUAAUACCGCAUACGCCCUGAGGGGGAAAGCGGGGGACCGUAAGGCCUCGCGCGAUUAGAGCGGCCGAUGUUCUGAUUAGCUUGUUGGUGAGGUAAAAGCUCACCAAGGCGAUGAUCAGUAGCUGGUCUGAGAGGACGAUGCGCCACACAGCGAAUGAGACACCGCCCAGACUCCUACGAGAGGCAGCAGUGGGGAAUUUUGGACAAUGGGGGCAACCCUGAUCCAGCAAUGCCGCGUGAGUGAAGAAGGCCUUCGGGUUGUAAAGCUCUUUUGUCAGGGAAGAAACAGCAGCUCUAACACAGUCUGCGAAUGACGGUACCUGAAGAAUAAGCACCGGCUAACUACGUGCCAGCCGCCGCCGUAA